UAUCUUUCUUUUUUCUUUACAUUAUUUUUUUCAUAUUUUCUUCUGUUCUUUUCCCUUUCUCUUGGGGGAUUUUCUUUUUUACUUGUUUCUUUUCUUUGCACGGCAGGCUAAUUUAUAUUAUAAUCUGUUUCGCGAAUUCAUACAACUCUAUUAUGACCAUUAUUUCUUCUUUUCUACAUUUAUUUCCUUUUCUUUUUCAAUUCAUUUCACUUCUUUUUUAUUUUUUUAUUAUCUUUUUU
Molecule: long non-coding RNA, 239 nt
Filed under: Setaria viridis
Lineage: Eukaryota; Viridiplantae; Streptophyta; Magnoliopsida; Poales; Poaceae
Description: long non-coding RNA (SVIR_LNC001303)
Source: RNAcentral